Molecule: ribosomal RNA, 97 nt
Filed under: Triportheus albus
Lineage: Eukaryota; Metazoa; Chordata; Actinopteri; Characiformes; Triportheidae
Source: RNAcentral
UACGCCCGAUCUCGUCCGAUCUCGGAAGCUAAGCGGGGUCGGGCCUGGUUAGUACUUGGAUGGGAGACCGCCUGGGAAUACCAGGUGCUGUAAGCUU